This 519-nucleotide ribosomal RNA is filed under the name Neonectria neomacrospora. Its description in RNAcentral is "partial large subunit ribosomal RNA". It matches the Rfam family "Eukaryotic large subunit ribosomal RNA", at positions 80 to 624 of the family's 3401-position model. The record is from RNAcentral. Lineage: Eukaryota; Fungi; Ascomycota; Sordariomycetes; Hypocreales; Nectriaceae.
CUAGUAACGGCGAGUGAAGCGGCAACAGCUCAAAUUUGAAAUCUGGCCCCCGGGUCCGAGUUGUAAUUUGUAGAGGAUGCUUUUGGUGCGGUACCUUCCGAGUUCCCUGGAACGGGACGCCAUAGAGGGUGAGAGCCCCGUCUGGUUGGACGCCAAUCCUUUGUAAAGCUCCUUCAACGAGUCGAGUAGUUUGGGAAUGCUGCUCUAAAUGGGAGGUAUAUGUCUUCUAAAGCUAAAUAUUGGCCAGAGACCGAUAGCGCACAAGUAGAGUGAUCGAAAGAUGAAAAGCACUUUGAAAAGAGAGUUAAAAAGUACGUGAAAUUGUUGAAAGGGAAGCGCUCAUGACCAGACUUGGGCUCGGUUGAUCAUCCAGGGUUCUCCCUGGUGCACUCUCCCGGCCCAGGCCAGCAUCAGUUCGCCGCGGGGGACAAAGGCGUCGGGAAUGUGGCUCCCUCGGGAGUGUUAUAGCCCGUCGUGCAAUACCCUGUGGUGGACUGAGGUUCGCGCAUUCGCAAGGAU